This 1509-nucleotide ribosomal RNA is filed under the name Piscirickettsiaceae bacterium CG_4_9_14_3_um_filter_43_564. RNAcentral describes it as "bacterial SSU rRNA". It matches the Rfam family "Bacterial small subunit ribosomal RNA". Lineage: Bacteria; Pseudomonadati; Pseudomonadota; Gammaproteobacteria; Thiotrichales; Piscirickettsiaceae. The record is from RNAcentral.
UAAACUGAAGAGUUUGAUCCUGGCUCAGAAUGAACGCUGGCGGCAGGCCUAACACAUGCAAGUCGAACGGUAACAGAAGAAAAGCUUGCUUUUCUUGCUGACGAGUGGCGGACGGGUGAGUAACGCGUGGGAAUCUACCCUUUAGUUGGGGACAACAUAUGGAAACGUAUGCUAAUACCGAAUACGAUCUACGGAUUAAAGGUGGCCUCUAUUUAUAAGCUAUCGCUAAAGGAUGAGCCCGCGUUAGAUUAGCUAGUUGGUAGGGUAAAGGCCUACCAAGGCGACGAUCUAUAGCUGGUUUGAGAGGAUGAUCAGCCACACUGGGACUGAGACACGGCCCAGACUCCUACGGGAGGCAGCAGUGGGGAAUAUUGCACAAUGAGGGAAACCUUGAUGCAGCCAUGCCGCGUGUGUGAAGAAGGCCCGAGGGUUGUAAAGCACUUUCAAUUGUGAGGAAGAUUAAGUAACUAAUACUUGCUUAGUUUGACGUUAACUUUAGAAGAAGCACCGGCUAACUCUGUGCCAGCAGCCGCGGUAAUACAGAGGGUGCAAGCGUUAUUCGGAAUUACUGGGCGUAAAGCGCGCGUAGGCGGACUGUUAAGUCGGUUGUGAAAGCCCUGGGCUCAACCUAGGAACUGCAUCCGAUACUGGCAAUCUAGAGUUUAAGAGAGGGAAGUGGAAUUCCAGGUGUAGCAGUGAAAUGCGUAGAUAUCUGGAGGAACAUCAGUGGCGAAGGCGACUUCCUGGCUUAAAACUGACGCUGAGGUGCGAAAGCUUGGGUAGCGAACGGGAUUAGAUACCCCGGUAGUCCAAGCCGUAAACNNNNNNNNNNNUAAGUUGACCGCCUGGGGAGUACGGUCGCAAGAUUAAAACUCAAAGGAAUUGACGGGGGCCCGCACAAGCGGUGGAGCAUGUGGUUUAAUUCGAUGCAACGCGAAGAACCUUACCAUCCCUUGACAUCCUGCGAACUUUCUAGAGAUAGAUUGGUGCCUUCGGGAACGCAGAGACAGGUGCUGCAUGGCUGUCGUCAGCUCGUGUCGUGAGAUGUUGGGUUAAGUCCCGCAACGAGCGCAACCCUUAUCAUUAGUUGCUACCAUUCAGUUGAGAACUCUAAUGAGACUGCCGGUGAUAAACCGGAGGAAGGCGGGGACGACGUCAAGUCAUCAUGGCCCUUAUGGGAUGGGCUACACACGUGCUACAAUGGGGGGUACAAAGAGCAGCCAACUGGCGACAGUGCGCGAAUCUCAUAAAACCUCUCGUAGUCCGGAUCGGAGUCUGCAACUCGACUCCGUGAAGUCGGAAUCGCUAGUAAUCGUGAAUCAGAAUGUCACGGUGAAUACGUUCCCGGGCCUUGUACACACCGCCCGUCACACCAUGGGAGUGGGUUGCAAAAGAAGUGGGUAGUCUAACCUUCGGGAGGGCGCUCACCACUUUGUGAUUCAUGACUGGGGUGAAGUCGUAACAAGGUAGCCCUAGCGGAAGCUGGGGCUGGAUCACCUCCUUUAAGAC